Non-coding RNA from Oryctolagus cuniculus (rabbit), 806 nucleotides. NCBI's taxonomy places the organism in Eukaryota, Metazoa, Chordata, Mammalia, Lagomorpha, Leporidae. The record is from RefSeq and is a predicted model, not a curated record.
UACUUAAGUUUUCUUCUUUGUACUUGUGUAGGAAUGCAUAAACUUUACAAAUAAUUCUGUAAACAACAAACAGGAAAAUACUCAAAUACUUAAAUUAACUGCUUUUUUCUGAACUCACCACUUAAGCAUCUCCAGUAUAAUGCUAACUCAGUGAUGUGGAAUGAAGGAUCUCCUUGUUUUAAAUACUUAACUACCAGACAUUUUAAGCUUCAUGUUUUAUUUAUUUAUAUUUACUUCAAAGGCAAACGGGGAGAUAGAGAAAGAGAGAAAAAGAGAGAGAGAGGAAGAGAGGGAGGGAAGGAAGGAAGGAGGGAGGGAGGGAAGGAGGCAGGGAGAGAAACAGAGAUCUUCUACCCACUGGUUUAUUCCCCAAAUGCCCACAACAGCUUGGGUUGGGACAAGCUAAAGCCAGGAGCUGAGAACUAAAUCUGGGUCUCUCACAGGGAUGGCAAGUACCCAACCAGCUGAGGCACGAUCGGCUGAAUCUCAGGGAGUUAACAGCAGGAAGCUGGAAGUGGAAGCAGAGCAGGAACUCAAACCCAGCUGCCUCCAGGGUGUGCAGGAAUAUGGAGCUGGAGUAAGGAGCUGGAACUGCCACUGAACCAGUGCUUGAAUCCACCAGUUAUCAGCAAGAAGGACAAAGACAAACCCACCAGCCAUGAGCUUCCUGGAGAAAAACUAUCUGUCAGCAGCCUCUUCUGGCCCCCGUCUCAUGAACUAAUCCGUGAGCGCUCAGUCCCCGGUUUGCUCUGUCUCCCUUUCCCUCGUGUCUACAUUAGGACUAUGACAUCAAUGAAAUAAAGAAA